GAUGAACGCUGGCGGCGUGCCUAAUACAUGCAAGUCGAGCGAACGGACGAGAAGCUUGCUUCUCUGAUGUUAGCGGCGGACGGGUGAGUAACACGUGGAUAACCUACCUAUAAGACUGGGAUAACUUCGGGAAACCGGAGCUAAUACCGGAUAAUAUUUUGAACCGCAUGGUUCAAAAGUGAAGGACGGUCUUGCUGUCACUUAUAGAUGGAUCCGCGCUGCAUUAGCUAGUUGGUAAGGUAACGGCUUACCAAGGCAACGAUGCAUAGCCGACCUGAGAGGGUGAGGCCCCACUCGGGAACGGAAACGCGCUCGACCCCCCAGGGGGGGAAAGGAGGGGGAAUUUUCCCAAAGGGGGCAAACCCGGGGGGGCGCACCGCCGGGAGGGAGAUGAGGUUUUGGGGCUGGAAACCCUUUUUUAUGGGGAAAAAAAAUGUGUAAAGAAAAGUGCCCCCUUUGAGGGGACCCAAAAAAAAAAGCCCGGGUAAACCCGCG
This 495-nucleotide ribosomal RNA is filed under the name uncultured bacterium. RNAcentral's name for it is "partial 16S ribosomal RNA". It matches the Rfam family "Bacterial small subunit ribosomal RNA", at positions 28 to 507 of the family's 1533-position model. The record is from RNAcentral.